AGAGUUUGAUCCUGGCUCAGGAUGAACGCUAGCGGCAGGCUUAACACAUGCAAGUCGAGGGGCAUCGGGAGGGAAGCUUGCUUUCCUUGCCGGCGACCGGCGCACGGGUGAGUAACACGUAUGCAACCUGCCCUCUUCAGGGGGACAACCUUCCGAAAGGGAGGCUAAUCCCGCGUAUAUCGGUUUCGGGCAUCCGAGAUCGAGGAAAGAUUCAUCGGAAGAGGAUGGGCAUGCGGCGCAUUAGCUUGACGGCGGGGUAACGGCCCACCGUGGCGACGAUGCGUAGGGGUUCUGAGAGGAAGGUCCCCCACACUGGUACUGAGACACGGACCAGACUCCUACGGGAGGCAGCAGUGAGGAAUAUUGGUCAAUGGGAGAGAUCCUGAACCAGCCAAGCCGCGUGAGGGAAGACGGCCCUAUGGGUUGUAAACCUCUUUUGUCGGAGAACAAAACCCGGGACGUGUCCCGGACUGCGUGUAUCCGAAGAAAAGCAUCGGCUAACUCCGUG
This 508-nucleotide ribosomal RNA is filed under the name uncultured Bacteroidales bacterium. RNAcentral describes it as "bacterial SSU rRNA". It matches the Rfam family "Bacterial small subunit ribosomal RNA", at positions 8 to 507 of the family's 1533-position model. The record is from RNAcentral. Lineage: Bacteria; Pseudomonadati; Bacteroidota; Bacteroidia; Bacteroidales.